This 506-nucleotide ribosomal RNA is filed under the name uncultured bacterium. RNAcentral's name for it is "partial 16S ribosomal RNA". It matches the Rfam family "Bacterial small subunit ribosomal RNA", at positions 30 to 523 of the family's 1533-position model. The record is from RNAcentral.
AUUGAACGCUGGCGGCAGGCCUAACACAUGCAAGUCGGACGGUAGCACAGAGGCGCUAGCUCCUCGGGUGACGAGUGGCGGACGGGUGAGUAAUGGCUGGGGAUCUGCCCGAUAUGGAGGGAUAACCACUGGAAACGGUGGUUAAUACCGCAUAACGUCGCAAGAACAAAUAGGGGGACAUUCGAGCCUCUCACUGUCGGAUGAAGCCAGAUGGGAGUAGCUAGUAGGCGGGGUAAUGGCCCACCUAAGCGACGAUACCUAGCUGGUCUAAGAGGAUGACCAGACACACUGGAAAUGAGACACGGUCCAGACUCCUACGGGAGGAAGCAGUGGGGAAUAUUGCACAAUGGGUGCAAGCCUGAUGCAACCAUGCCGCGUGUAUGAAGGAGGCCUUCGGGUUGUAAAGUACUUUCAGCGGGGAGGAAGGCGAUGUGGUUAAUAACCUUGUCGAUUGACGUUACCCGCAGAAGAAGCACCGGCUAACUCCGUGCCAGCCGCCGCAGUAA